This 515-nucleotide ribosomal RNA is filed under the name uncultured bacterium. RNAcentral's name for it is "partial 16S ribosomal RNA". It matches the Rfam family "Bacterial small subunit ribosomal RNA", at positions 28 to 523 of the family's 1533-position model. The record is from RNAcentral.
GAUGAACGCUGGCGGCGUGCCUAAUACAUGCAAGUCGAGCGAAUGGAUUAAGAGCUUGCUCUUAUGAAGUUAGCGGCGGACGGGUGAGUAACACGUGGGUAACCUGCCCAUAAGACUGGGAUAACUCCGGGAAACCGGGGCUAAUACCGGAUAACAUUUUGAACCGCAUGGUUCGAAAUUGAAAGGCGGCUUCGGCUGUCACUUAUGGAUGGACCCGCGUCGCAUUAGCUAGUUGGUGAGGUAACGGCUCACCAAGGCAACGAUGCGUAGCCGACCUGAGAGGGGGAUCGGCCACACUGGGACUGAGACACGGCCCAGACUCCCACGGGAGGCAGCAGUAGGGAAUCUUCCGCAAUGGACGAAAGUCUGACGGAGCAACGCCGCGUGAGUGAGGAAGGCUUUCGGGUCGUAAAACUCUGUUGUUAGGGAAGAACAAGUGCUAGUUGAAUAAGCUGACACCUUGACGGUACCUAACCAGAAAGCCACGGCUAACUACGUGCCAGCCGCCGCCGUAA